UUUAUACAAUAAACUGAAAAUCACUAAAAGCGCUGACGACAAUAUCCCAAGAUAAGGGCAAUUAAAAAUAAUAUAAAAAGGCUUAGUUCUGCUUGCACAUCAGUGAGCGAGCGUGCUAGCAAGCGACUCUCUCUCUCUUAUUUGAAGAUCUGAAUUCAAUAAAGAAUUCAGAAUUCUUCUAUCUGAUUUAUUUUGAUCAAAUUAGCCGCGACCCCGUGUUGUCGUCGGUACACAUUUUAAAACGAUAUCGAGAAUACAAUUAUUUUGCGUCAAUACUUUAUUUAUUUAUUUAAAAGGAACAGUAUAAAUCUUAACGGAAGAUAUCUAAAAAGGACCACUUAUAUGAAGUCGAUGUGCACUUGUUGAAUAGCCUCCUCUAGGAUUAAUCAUGUUGAGAACAAGGGUAGAACCAAGUGCUAAUCUUGUGCCAGUUGAAUUCCCUCGAUCAGGUAACUUAAUGAGUAAUGUUGUAACAGCAGCAUUGGUAUCACUUGUGGGCUCUAUAGCUAAAGGUCUAAUAUCACAUAAUCUAGUAUAUUGGCUGGAUUCUGGCUGUUGAGAUGUAUUUAAAAUAAUAGCUACAAAUGCAAACGGUCUUUUAGCCAUAUGAAGCAUUUCUACAACUUGUUGCCUACGAGCACGACGCAUAUCGGCCGCCUAAAAAACUUUCCAUCCCACAACACAUACAGCAAGAAACAAAAAGAAACAUGAAAAAAAUACCGAAAAAAAUACAAAGAGAUCAAUAUGUAGCUGAUCCUGUCUAAAAAAUACUGUUCCAUAUGUUGGAACUGGCACAAUAUGUGUUGCUUGAACUGGAAGAGAAGAAAUAGCUAACAAAGCCAUAUAAUAUCUUGUUGCUGAUAAAUCAUGCUUGUCAUGUGGAAGUGUGAUAAUCAACCUAAGAAAAAAUUAAAAAUUAAUCUGUAUAAAAAUUAAUUAUUAAAUUUAAUAUUUACCUGUUGUUAACAUUUUUUACAAUCAAUAAAGAAAUACUUUUUUUCAUGGUUA
This is a long non-coding RNA of Daktulosphaira vitifoliae (grape phylloxera), 1008 nucleotides long. RefSeq lists it as uncharacterized. The record is from RefSeq and is a predicted model, not a curated record. Lineage: Eukaryota; Metazoa; Arthropoda; Insecta; Hemiptera; Phylloxeridae. The transcript has 3 exons.